UUAAUUGAAACCAAAAAGAGGUCUAUCACUGUUAAUGAUAAAAAUGAAUAAAUUUAUUCCAAUUAAG
Molecule: transfer RNA, 67 nt
Filed under: Epiphragma mediale
Lineage: Eukaryota; Metazoa; Arthropoda; Insecta; Diptera; Limoniidae
Description: tRNA-Asn
Source: RNAcentral